GGAGGGUAUAGCUCAGUGGUAGAGUGUUUGCUUUGCAUGCACAAGGUCCUGGGUUCAAUCCUCAGUACCUCCA
RNAcentral lists this transfer RNA (73 nucleotides) under Vicugna pacos (alpaca). Its description in RNAcentral is "tRNA-Ala (TGC) (tRNA-Ala-TGC-12-1)". It matches the Rfam family "tRNA". Rfam says of the family: Transfer RNA (tRNA) molecules are approximately 80 nucleotides in length. Their secondary structure includes four short double-helical elements and three loops (D, anti-codon, and T loops). Lineage: Eukaryota; Metazoa; Chordata; Mammalia; Artiodactyla; Camelidae. The record is from RNAcentral.